GACGAACGCUGGCGGCGUGCCUAAUACAUGCAAGUAGGACGCUGAAGGAGGAGCUUGCUUCUCUGGAUGAGUUGCGAACGGGUGAGUAACGCGUAGGUAACCUGCCUGGUAGCGGGGGAUAACUAUUGGAAACGAUAGCUAAUACCGCAUAAUAGCAGUUGUUGCAUGACAACUGUUUGAAAGGUGCAAUUGCACCACUACCAGAUGGACCUGCGUUGUAUUAGCUAGUUGGUGGGGUAACGGCUCACCAAGGCGACGAUACAUAGCCGACCUGAGAGGGUGAUCGGCCACACUGGGACUGAGACACGGCCCAGACUCCUACGGGAGGCAGCAGUAGGGAAUCUUCGGCAAUGGACGGAAGUCUGACCGAGCAACGCCGCGUGAGUGAAGAAGGUUUUCGGAUCGUAAAGCUCUGUUGUAAGAGAAGAACGAGUGUGAGAGUGGAAAGUUCACACUGUGACGGUAUCUUACCAGAAAGGGACGGCUAACUACGUG
RNAcentral lists this ribosomal RNA (495 nucleotides) under uncultured bacterium. RNAcentral's name for it is "partial 16S ribosomal RNA". It matches the Rfam family "Bacterial small subunit ribosomal RNA", at positions 28 to 507 of the family's 1533-position model. The record is from RNAcentral.